AUUGAACGCUGGCGGCAUGCCUUACACAUGCAAGUCGAACGGCAGCGCGGGAGCAAUCCUGGCGGCGAGUGGCGAACGGGUGAGUAAUACAUCGGAACGUGCCCAAUCGUGGGGGAUAACGCAGCGAAAGCUGUGCUAAUACCGCAUACGAUCUACGGAUGAAAGCAGGGGAUCGCAAGACCUUGCGCGAAUGGAGCGGCCGAUGGCAGAUUAGGUAGUUGGUGAGGUAAAGGCUCACCAAGCCUUCGAUCUGUAGCUGGUCUGAGAGGACGACCAGCCACACUGGGACUGAGACACGGCCCAGACUCCUACGGGAGGCAGCAGUGGGGAAUUUUGGACAAUGGGCGAAAGCCUGAUCCAGCCAUGCCGCGUGCAGGAUGAAGGCCUUCGGGUUGUAUACUGCUUUUGUACGGAACGAAACGGUCUUUUCUAAUAAAGAAGGCUAAUGACGGUACCGUAAGAAUAAGCACCGGCUAACUACGUG
RNAcentral lists this ribosomal RNA (484 nucleotides) under uncultured bacterium. RNAcentral describes it as "partial 16S ribosomal RNA". It matches the Rfam family "Bacterial small subunit ribosomal RNA", at positions 30 to 507 of the family's 1533-position model. The record is from RNAcentral.